Molecule: long non-coding RNA, 3847 nt
Filed under: Sarcophilus harrisii (Tasmanian devil)
Lineage: Eukaryota; Metazoa; Chordata; Mammalia; Dasyuromorphia; Dasyuridae
Description: lncRNA (ENSSHAG00000031562.1)
Source: RNAcentral
GCAUGGGUAACUUUACAGCAUUAACAAUUGCCAAACCUCUUGUUCCAAUUUUUCACCUCUUACCCCCCACUUCCUCCCCCAGAUGGCAGGAUGACCAGUAGAUGUUAAGUACAUUAAAAUAUAAAUUAGAUACACAAUAAGUAUACAUGACCAAAACGUUAUUUUGUUGUACAAAAAGAAUCAGACUCUGAAAUAUUGUACAAUUAGCUUGUGAAGGAAAUCAAAAAUGCAGGUGUGCAUAAAUAUAGGGAUUGGGAAUUCAAUGUAAUGGUUUUUAGUCAUCUCCCAGAGUUCUUUUUCUUGGCAUAGCUAGUUCAGUUCAUUACUGCUCCAUUAGAAAUGAUUUGGUUGAUCUCGUUGCUGAGGAUGGCCUGGUCCAUCAGAACUGGUCAUCAUCUAGUAUUGUUGUUGAAGUAUAUAAUGAUCUCCUGGUCCUGCUCAUUUCACUCAGCAUCAGUUCGUGUAAGUCUCUCCAGGCCUUUCUGAAAUUAUCCUGUUGGUCAUUUCUUACAGAACAGUAAUAUUCCAUAAUAUUCAUAUACCACAAUUUAUUCAGCCAUUCUCCAACUGAUGGACAUCCAUUCAGUUUCCAGUUUCUAGCCACUACAAAAAGGGCUGCCACAAACAUUCGUGCACAUACAGGUCCCUUUCCCUUCUUUAUAAUCUCUUUGGGAACUCUCUUUUCCACUGACUGACUCUUGACUGAGGCUCUAAGAGCUUCUUAUAUAUACUCUCUUAAAGGUGUGAACCCAAAGGUUGACUCCUCCUCCAAGAGUGAGGUUGUGGGAGGUGUAACUUGUAACUCUAAUGUGUGAGUUAAUGUGAGAACUCUCAAAGGUGUGAACAUAAGCAUUGUUUCUAUCAAUUCUAGUGAGUUAACACCUUGUUUCAAGUUUUGGCUUAUAACACAGGACAGUAACAAAACUGAGGCUAUAAAUAAUGGGCUUGGAUAUUCUCUCUUACCUCUCUUUUGUUCUUAAAAUUUAGGUUUGCCUUUCUAUUUUUAUGGAAAAAUGGAGGCAUUUGGAAUCAUUUGGGGAUCUCUUUCAGCAGCUGAUCAGUGGAUUGUAUCAAUAAAUAUUUUACUCUCUUAAGAUAUGUAUGUUCCAACAACAUCUGCCAUUUCCAUAGAGUUUUUAGGAUUCUUUUAAAUAUAACUAAAUAUAAAUAACUAAAUAUAAAUAUAAUAUAAUAUAAUAAAUAUAAUAUAACUAAAUAUAAAUAAAUAUAACUAAAUAUAAAUAAGCCCCAGUCACAGAUUUUUAUUGUUAAACUCUUCUGUAAUAAGAUAAGGAUUCGCUCUAAGGUGUAAAUCAACAAGCACUGUAUCCAUUCUAUUGAGUUAACACCAGGACCCUGACAUCACCCUUGAGUUUUCACCUUGUUUCAAGUUGAGUUGACACUAGGAUUCCAACAUCUGCCAUUUCCAUAGUUUUUAGGAUCUGUAAAGUCCUUUAGAUCCAUUCUCUCAUGCAAUUCUUCUGGCAGCUCUGUGAGAUAGUUGCUUUACUUAAGACAUUGUAGAUGCAAGGCCCAACCCACGUUUCUUUCUUUCUUUCUUUUUUUUUUUUUUUUUUUAAAUUUAAUAUCCUUUUAUUUACAGGUUAUAUGUAUGGGUAACUUUACAGCAUUGACAAUUGCCAAACCUCUUGUUCCAAUUUUUCCCCUCCUUCCCCCCACCCCCUCCCCUAGAGGGCAGGAUGACCAGUAGAUGUUAAAUAUAUUAAAAUAUAAAUUAGAUACACAAUAAGUAUACAUGACCAAACAGUUAUUUUGCUGUACAAAAAGAAUCAGACUCUGAAAUAAUGUAGCUUGUGAAGGAAAUCAAAAAUGCAAGUGGGCAAAAAUAUAGGAUUGGGAAUUCAAUGUAAUGGUUUUUAGUCAUCUCCCAGAGUUCUUUCACUGGGCGUAGCUGGUUCAGUUCAUUACUGCUCCAUUGGAACUGAUUUGCCUACCCAAGUUUCUCAAAAACCUCCCUGGCUCAGUGGUAUCAGAGGGUUUUGCCAUUGAGCACUUUGGGGCACUUUUAUUCAUUCUACCCACGAAGAAGACACUGUGGUAAGAACUCCCUUUGAUGCCUGCUCCAGCAGAUGCAUGUGCUAUGAGUGCCAGGCUGAUGACUGGUGCCAUAGUUAAAUAAGCAUCUUUCUCAUACCAUAGGAGGAGAUAAAGGUGAUUCUGAAACACACCCUUAAGUAUAAGGAACCAGGGCACUAUUAAUUCAAUUCAGAGUGGAUUUGUUUGAACUUGUGACAAAACCUGUUACCAAAGUUCUUCCUCUUCUCAGCUCCUGGCCAAGAAACCUCAUCUGUUUUCUCCUGUGCUUGGUGCCCUGUUCUGCACUAAUGUAGAAACUUCUCAAACCAAAAAGGUUAUCCCUAGGUUCCUCUGCCUGCUCCCAAAAGGACUUAUAUAGUUCCUACAGCCAGUUUCUCAAACUAUGCCGUCUACCACCCCUCCCCAAUUCUCUCAUACCUGCCUUCCUGCCAACUACUAGUGGUCAGAUCUUUUAUCUUCAGAAAUUUUCUGGCAAAGCCCUCUUAAGAAAUGAACUCUUUCAAGGAAGGGAGGGAGAAAAGAAGGAAAGAAGGGAGGAAGAGAGAGAGGAAAGGCGGAAGGGAAGAAGGAAGAAAGAUAUUUGAAGCAGAAAAACACAUAUAAAAUAAAGAUAAGGAGAUGGAUCAGAAAAAAAAAAAAAAGAAAUGAACUCUUUCACCAAACCCACGACACUGAUGGGAAACCCUAAUCUUGUUGGGGUGUCUUUCUCCUCAAUACUCCCACUGAUGGACAACAAAAUAUUCUCUUCCUGGGCCCUGUCCUCUCAGCUCCCUCUUCCCCAUAAAUUCUCCUAGACUUUGUUCUUAUCCCUCCUUUGCCCUCCCACUUGUAUCUCCAACGCUUCACAUACUGUAUCCUUUUUUUAAAUGUUCAUUUUAACGAGUUACACGUGAAAACAUUUUCUUUUGGUUAGACAUAUACUUUUUUUUUUCCUACUUCUCAUUCUAACUAUCCCCUCAAACCCUCUUACAGGUAGUGUUCUAAACUUAAAAAGAUCUACACUUCCAUACAGCCCCACGCAAGCUGCUCGGAAGUCCUGACCCUACUUAUUCAGACACUUCCCGGAACCCACCACGCUCAUCCUGUCCCCCCCCCCCUUUUUUUUUCUCCGUUUGAGUUUCUCUUUUGUCCCAACACUUCCAAACGCUCCGGAGAAAGGACUCUUAGGCAGGGACCCUCUCCACCUCCGCAAGAAGCAGCUCCUACUUCGCCUCGCCUUCCCUCAUUCCGCCCCUUGACAUCCCAAACUCCCGAAGCGGGGGAGAGAGAGAAGAGGGGUCGGUCCUUCCUCUAGCUCCGCCUCCCUCUCGCUACCACCCCGCGCAGCCUGCCCCCAGCCUUUCCCUCAGCCCCGGCCGAUCCUCAUCCCCCUCCGGUGCCCCAUUUUCAGCUUCUCACAGCUUCGGACCCCGAUCCCACCCCCACUCCCUUCCGCGGUCCUUCCGGACUACUGCUCCCACUGGGCGGUUUGGGCCUCUUCCUACUCACAAACUCCUUCCAAACACUUCUCUGGACACUGAACGUCCUCAUUCUCCCCUCCCUUUCCCUCCUCCUCCCUCCUUCCUCCAAGGGAUCAUAGAAUGGCUCUGACAUCUCUUAGAAGACCCGUCUAACUCCCUCAUUUUACAGACGAGGAAACUGAGCCUCAGAGAGGGUGUACCUUGUACAAGGUCAUACAGAAGUGACGCCAACCGAGAUGCCCACCUGGGUCUUCAGACCGCUCCACCGCCCCCUCCUCACAAUUCCUUUCCUUAUCCUCCUGAGCCCCGUAGUUCCCCUCAGCCACCCC